RNAcentral lists this ribosomal RNA (1023 nucleotides) under marine metagenome. RNAcentral's name for it is "bacterial LSU rRNA". It matches the Rfam family "Bacterial large subunit ribosomal RNA", at positions 1310 to 2448 of the family's 2925-position model. The record is from RNAcentral.
CGAUAAAGAGUGUGAGAAACACUCUCGCCGAAAGCCCAAGGGUUCCUGCGCAAGGUUAAUCCACGCAGGGUUAGUCGGCCCCUAAGACGAGGGCGAAAGCCGUAGUCGAUGGGAACACGGUUAAUAUUCCGUGACCUGAUGGUAGUGACGGAUGGUGUAAAUUGUAAAUGCUUAUCGGAUUGCGUUUGCAGUGAAGCCGUUCCAGGAAAUAGCUCCAUCAUUAAGACCGUACCCGAAACCGACACAGGUGGGCAGGUAGAGAAUACCAAGGCGCUUGGGAGAAUGAUGUUGAAGGAACUCGGCAAAAUGCACCCGUAACUUCGGAAUAAGGGUGGCCUGUUCUGGGCAACCAGAAGCAGGUAGCAUUAAAUAGGGGGUAGCGACUGUUUAUUAAAAACAUAGGGCUCUGCAAAGUGGCAACACGACGUAUAGGGUCCGACGCCUGCCCGGUGCUGGAAGGUUAAGAGGAGUUGUGCAAGCAGCGAAUUGAAGCCCCAGUAAACGGCGGCCGUAACUAUAACGGUCCUAAGGUAGCGAAAUUCCUUGUCGGGUAAGUUCCGACCUGCACGAAUGGCGUAACGACUUCCCCGCUGUCUCCAACAUCAACUCAGCGAAAUUGAAUUCCCCGUGAAGAUGCGGGGUACCCGCGGUCAGACGGAAAGACCCCGUGCACCUUUACUACAGCUUUGCAGUGGCAUCAGGAAGCCGAUGUGCAGGAUAGGUGGGAGGCUUGGAACUUGUAGCGCAAGCUAUGAGGGAGCCAUCCUUGAGAUACCACCCUUCUGCUUUCUGUUGUCUAACCGAGAUCAGUUAUCCUGGUCCGGGACCCUGCAUGGUGGGUAGUUUGACUGGGGCGGUCGCCUCCUAAAUGGUAACGGAGGCGCGCGAUGGUAGGCUCAGAACGGCUGGAAAUCGUUCGACGAGUGCAAUGGCAUAAGCCUGCCUGACUGUGAGACUGACAGGUCGAACAGAGACGAAAGUCGGUCAUAGUGAUCCGGUGGCACUUCGUGGAAGGGCCAUCGC